This 484-nucleotide ribosomal RNA is filed under the name uncultured bacterium. RNAcentral's name for it is "partial 16S ribosomal RNA". It matches the Rfam family "Bacterial small subunit ribosomal RNA", at positions 30 to 507 of the family's 1533-position model. The record is from RNAcentral.
AUUGAACGCUGGCGGCAGGCCUAACACAUGCAAGUCGAGCGGAUGAAGGGAGCUUGCUCCUGGAUUCAGCGGCGGACGGGUGAGUAAUGCCUAGGAAUCUGCCUGGUAGUGGGGGAUAACGUCCGGAAACGGGCGCUAAUACCGCAUACGUCCUGAGGGAGAAAGUGGGGGAUCUUCGGACCUCACGCUAUCAGAUGAGCCUAGGUCGGAUUAGCUAGUUGGUGGGGUAAAGGCCUACCAAGGCGACGAUCCGUAACUGGUCUGAGAGGAUGAUCAGUCACACUGGAACUGAGACACGGUCCAGACUCCUACGGGAGGCAGCAGUGGGGAAUAUUGGACAAUGGGCGAAAGCCUGAUCCAGCCAUGCCGCGUGUGUGAAGAAGGUCUUCGGAUUGUAAAGCACUUUAAGUUGGGAGGAAGGGCGGUAAGUUAAUACCUUGCUGUUUUGACGUUACCAACAGAGUAAGCACCGGCUAACUUCGUG